UACCUCCUGUACACGGGCGGGAUCGUGGCGGCCAUCCAGGCCACCAUGGCCACCGAUGGCGCCGUGGAGGCCAUCCCACGGCUCCUCUGGGGGAUAAGGAGGCCACCCCGAAUCCCUGGGACAAACCCUAGCUCCAUUCCCCUUGCUCCCUCGCUCACCAUCGUCGAUUUGGACGCGCCCGAGUGUGCAGCCGCCAUGGCCGUCGUCGUAGUCCUGGCCAGCGUUCUCCCUGUCGCCUGAGUAGACGUCCAAGAGCCUCACCGUUGUUGUCUCCCUCGUCGCGCCUUCUGGAUAGGACCGGGAGGGCCGCAUCACGUCGCCAUCGUCGGUCUUCUCCGCCACGGUGGUCGUCGUCCGUCGUCAGAUCCCGCUACUCCGGACGUCCCCAACCCCCCUCGAGCUCGCCUGCGUCCUCCCCGACCCCGAGACCGCUGCUAAGGUCCCGGUGAUCGACUACGUCACCGACGACCCGUCCUUCUCGACUGAGGAACCAGGCAUGCAAACCCCCCUUGAGCAUUUUGCGACCAUAUGACGGAUCCCAGGAGCCAGACGACAGCACUGAUGCCUACUACUACGUGAU
This is a long non-coding RNA of Triticum dicoccoides, 580 nucleotides long. RefSeq lists it as uncharacterized. The record is from RefSeq and is a predicted model, not a curated record. Lineage: Eukaryota; Viridiplantae; Streptophyta; Magnoliopsida; Poales; Poaceae. The transcript has 3 exons.